ACACAACCCCCACCAAAAACCGUGAGUGGUCUCAGGUGUUAAGGAAGACCUGAUUUAAUUUGUUUUACUUGAAGUCAUGUUGCGCCUUUUUAUAAGUUUACUAUAUGGUUUUCUCAUUGUUGAAGUCCGUUCGGGGAACUAAAGCUGUUUGCAACCUUCUCAAUUUGAUUUCUGAUAGUUGUCUCAUUGGUAAGCCUAUCAUAUAUCUCUACACCCUCUACAUAUUUUUUACUUGACAUGAAUC
This 244-nucleotide long non-coding RNA is filed under the name Mytilus galloprovincialis (Mediterranean mussel). Lineage: Eukaryota; Metazoa; Mollusca; Bivalvia; Mytilida; Mytilidae. The record is from RNAcentral.